CGCUUCGGUGGUGGAUGAGUGGCGAACGGGUGAGUAACACGUGGGCAAUCUGCCCUGUACUUCGGGAUAAGCCCUGGAAACGGGGUCUAAUACCGGAUAGGACACUGUCUCGCAUGGGGUGGUGUGGAAAGCUUCGGCGGUACGGGAUGAGCCCGCGGCCUAUCAGCUUGUUGGUGGGGUGAUGGCCUACCAAGGCGACGACGGGUAGCCGGCCUGAGAGGGUGACCGGCCACACUGGGACUGAGACACGGCCCAGACUCCUACGGGAGGCAGCAGUGGGGAAUAUUGCACAAUGGGCGGAAGCCUGAUGCAGCGACGCCGCGUGAGGGAUGACGGCCUUCGGGUUGUAAACCUCUUUCGCCCGGGACGAAGCGUAAUAGUGACGGUACCGGGAGAAGAAGCACCGGCUAACUACGUGCCAGCAGCCGCGGUAAUACGUAGGGUGCGAGCGUUGUCCGGAAUUAUUGGGCGUAAAGAGCUCGUAGGCGGUGUGUCACGUCUGCCGUGAAAACCUGCGGCUUAACCGUGGGCGUGCGGUGGAUACGGGCAUCACUUG
RNAcentral lists this ribosomal RNA (556 nucleotides) under Saccharomonospora iraqiensis subsp. paurometabolica. RNAcentral describes it as "bacterial SSU rRNA". It matches the Rfam family "Bacterial small subunit ribosomal RNA", at positions 76 to 644 of the family's 1533-position model. The record is from RNAcentral. Lineage: Bacteria; Bacillati; Actinomycetota; Actinomycetes; Pseudonocardiales; Pseudonocardiaceae.